Chenopodium quinoa (quinoa) is the source of this 705-nucleotide long non-coding RNA. RefSeq lists it as uncharacterized. The transcript has 2 exons. The record is from RefSeq and is a predicted model, not a curated record. NCBI's taxonomy places the organism in Eukaryota, Viridiplantae, Streptophyta, Magnoliopsida, Caryophyllales, Amaranthaceae.
UGGCUGAAAACUGAAAAUAAACAAUCCAGACCGUUAGAUUUAAUCUACACUAACUCAUCAAAUCUCAGCCGUUGAUAUUUUUCCUCUCAAUUUGCACACUCUCUCUUUCCUCUAGUUUCUCUCUCCUACUUCAUUUUCACGUUCUUCUUUCUUUUCUAAUUUCCUCUACUUCCUCUCUCCAACUUUCUCUCUCUUACUUUCCCAAUUCUUCUACCAUGCUACUUUUUCAAAUCUGGCUUCAAUUACUUUGAUUUUCAGCGAUUUCUCAGCUCUACAAUCUAUUAUCAAUAGUAUAUUGGCAUUUGUCAAUACUAUAGAAUGGUUUUGUAAAAGGAUUGAAAACGAAAAGUAUCACUAAGAAAAAGAAACCUUCUAUUGUUGAGAAUACAAAUGAAACAAUGGAUGGGAAUGCAAAGGACGCUCAACCUGCUAUAGCUUUGUCUGCUAUCAUGGAAGGAAAUAAGGGGAAUGAGGCUUCUUCUUCACAUGCUAUUGUUUUGUCAGCUAAGAAGAGAAAAUUGGAUGAAAAUGAAGGUCGUAAAGUGAAAAAAGUGAAGACAAACAAGGAUAAGAACAUUGUAAUUCAUAGGCAAGAGUCUGCAAUCAUAGAUGGUGAUGUACAUAUGUAAUGUAAAAUUAGUCUUUAUAAACAUAUGAAGUUAUAUUUUUAUUAAUAACAUUGUUAUAUAGUAUAUUUAAAUAUAA